GUCCUCAUGUUUUUAUUUGAGGUUUGGCCUGCCCGGUGAUUUUAAUUUAACGGCCGCGGUAUAUUGACCGUGCAAAGGUAGCAUAAUCAUUAGUCUUUUAAUAGGAGGCUGGAAUGAAAGGUUUAACGAAAAAUUAGCUGUCUCAAUUAUAAAUUUGAAUUUAACUUUUAAGUUAAAAGGCUUAAAUUUUUUUGUAGGACGAGAAGACCCUAUAGAGCUUUACAUUUAAUAUUUUGUUAUAUUGAUUUAGAUUAAUACUUUUAAUUAACUUUAAAAAAUGUUUUGUUGGGGUGACAAGAAAUAUAUAUUUAACUUUUAUUAUUAUAUUUUCAUUAAUUUAUGGUUAUUGGAUCCAAAAUUUUUGAUCAUUAGAAUAAGUUACCUUAGGGAUAACAGCGUAAUCUUCCCUCAGAGUUCAAAUUUACGGGAAGGCUUGCGACCUCGAUGUUGGAUUAAGAUAACAAUUGGGUGCAGUAGCUCAAUUUGUAGGUCUGUUCGACCUUUAAAUUCUU
Molecule: ribosomal RNA, 512 nt
Filed under: Paracercion sieboldii
Lineage: Eukaryota; Metazoa; Arthropoda; Insecta; Odonata; Coenagrionidae
Description: partial 16S rRNA
Rfam family: Bacterial large subunit ribosomal RNA
Source: RNAcentral